RNAcentral lists this ribosomal RNA (410 nucleotides) under Verrucomicrobiota bacterium. RNAcentral's name for it is "Verrucomicrobia bacterium partial 16S ribosomal RNA". It matches the Rfam family "Bacterial small subunit ribosomal RNA", at positions 355 to 776 of the family's 1533-position model. The record is from RNAcentral. Lineage: Bacteria; Pseudomonadati; Verrucomicrobiota.
UGGGGAAUCUUGCACAAUGGGCGAAAGCCUGAUGCAGCGACGCCGCGUGCGGGAUGAAGGCCUUCGGGUUGUAAACCGCUUUCAGCAGGGACGAGGCCGCAAGGUGACGGUACCUGCAGAAGAAGCCCCGGCUAACUACGUGCCAGCAGCCGCGGUAAUACGUAGGGGGCAAGCGUUAUCCGGAUUCAUUGGGCGUAAAGCGCGCGUAGGCGGUUUGUUAGGUCAGGAGUUAAAUCUGGGGGCUCAACCCCUAUCCGCUCCUGAUACCGGCAGGCUUGAGUCUGGUAGGGGAAGGCGGAAUUCCAAGUGUAGCGGUGAAAUGCGCAGAUAUUUGGAAGAACACCGGUGGCGAAGGCGGCCUUCUGGGCCACGACUGACGCUGAGGCGCGAAAGCUAGGGGAGCGAACGGG